RNAcentral lists this ribosomal RNA (253 nucleotides) under uncultured bacterium. RNAcentral describes it as "partial 16S ribosomal RNA". It matches the Rfam family "Bacterial small subunit ribosomal RNA", at positions 524 to 776 of the family's 1533-position model. The record is from RNAcentral.
CACGUAGGGCGCAAGCGUUGUCCGGAAUUAUUGGGCGUAAAGAGCUCGUAGGCGGUCUGUUGCGUCCGCUGUGAAAACCCGGGGCUCAACUCCGGGCUUGCAUUCGAUACGGGCAGGCUAGAGUUCGGUAGGGGAGUCUGGAAUUCCUGGUGUAGCGGUGAAAUGCGCAGAUAUCAGGAGGAACACCGGUGGCGAAGGCGGGACUCUGGGCCGAUACUGACGCUGAGGAGCGAAAGCGUGGGGAGCGAACAGG